CGCAUCUGUGCAUGCAGCAUAUCAAUAAGCGGAGGAAAAGAAACUAACAAGGAUUCCCCUAGUAACGGCGAGUGAAGCGGGAAGAGCUCAAAUUUGAAAUCUUAAAGGGUUUCCCUUUACGAAUUGUAGUUUAAAGAAGUGUUUUCUGUUGAGGUUUUGGUAAAAGUUCUUUGGAAUAGGACAUCAUAGAGGGUGAGAAUCCCGUAUUUGACCUUUACUUUCAACUUUGUGAUACACUUUCAAAGAGUCGGAUUGUUUGGGAAUGCAGUCCAAAAUGGGUGGUAAAUUUCAUCUAAAGCUAAAUAUUGGCGAGAGACCGAUAGCGAACAAGUACCGUGAGGGAAAGAUGAAAAGAACUUUGAAAAGAGAGUUAAACAGUACGUGAAAUUGUCAAAAGGGAAGCGUUUCGACACCAGUGUUGUUUUUCUGAAAAUCAAUUAAAGAACUGUUUAUGCUAAGUUGUUUAGACUUUAUCAGCUAACUGUUUAGUUUUGAGCUUUUCUUUAAUGCACUUUUCAGUUAACAAGUCAACAUCAAUUUCUUUUGCUGUAAAAAAGCUUGAGGAAGGUGGCUUGAGAUUCGUCUUAAGUGUUUAUAGCCUCUUGCCUAUGCAGUCGGAGAGAUUGAGGUCUGCAGCGUAGAUCCUUCGGGGCUAAAUGCAUUUGUGCUAAGUUAUAGCAUUUUAUAGACAACUUGUUGACUAUGAUUUGUCUUGUAGCUUACUCGCUUAUGUUAUUUUACCUACGCUUAGGAUGUUGACAGCAGUAUAGACUGU
This 775-nucleotide ribosomal RNA is filed under the name uncultured Neocallimastigales. Its description in RNAcentral is "partial large subunit ribosomal RNA". It matches the Rfam family "Eukaryotic large subunit ribosomal RNA", at positions 26 to 637 of the family's 3401-position model. The record is from RNAcentral. Lineage: Eukaryota; Fungi; Neocallimastigomycota; Neocallimastigomycetes; Neocallimastigales.